RNAcentral lists this ribosomal RNA (427 nucleotides) under uncultured Luteibacter sp. Its description in RNAcentral is "bacterial SSU rRNA". It matches the Rfam family "Bacterial small subunit ribosomal RNA", at positions 355 to 774 of the family's 1533-position model. The record is from RNAcentral. Lineage: Bacteria; Pseudomonadati; Pseudomonadota; Gammaproteobacteria; Lysobacterales; Rhodanobacteraceae.
UGGGGAAUAUUGGACAAUGGGCGAAAGCCUGAUCCAGCAAUGCCGCGUGAGUGAUGAAGGCCUUAGGGUUGUAAAGCACUUUUAUCAGGAGCGAAAUCUGCAGGGCUAAUACCCAUGCAGUCUGACGGUACCUGAGGAAUAAGCACCGGCUAACUCCGUGCCAGCAGCCGCGGUAAUACGGAGGGUGCAAGCGUUAAUCGGAAUUACUGGGCGUAAAGCGUGCGUAGGCGGUUCGUUAAGUCUGCUGUGAAAGCCCCGGGCUCAACCUGGGAAUGGCAGUGGAUACUGGCGAGCUAGAGUGUGAUAGAGGAUGGUGGAAUUCCCGGUGUAGCGGUGAAAUGCGUAGAGAUCGGGAGGAACAUCAGUGGCGAAGGCGGCCAUCUGGAUCAACACUGACGCUGAGGCACGAAAGCGUGGGGAGCAAACA